Non-coding RNA from Prunus avium (sweet cherry), 179 nucleotides. NCBI's taxonomy places the organism in Eukaryota, Viridiplantae, Streptophyta, Magnoliopsida, Rosales, Rosaceae. The record is from RefSeq and is a predicted model, not a curated record.
CGAUUCCAAACCUCUCUCAGAGCCAUCACGUCACGCCUCUCUCUACCGCCGCUCUUCUCUCAGCCUCUCUCAGUCGCCGUCAUCACGCAGCAAAUCGGAGAUUCCAUUCGCUCGCAGCGUCCACCUCUUCGUCUCGCAUAGCUCUCUGUCUCUGUCUCUCUCUCAGAUUUGUGGCAAAU